This 253-nucleotide unclassified non-coding RNA is filed under the name uncultured Penicillium. Its description in RNAcentral is "sequence contains 5.8S rRNA gene". The stretch from base 1 to 53 matches the Rfam family "5.8S ribosomal RNA", at positions 102 to 154 of the family's 154-position model. The record is from RNAcentral. Lineage: Eukaryota; Fungi; Ascomycota; Eurotiomycetes; Eurotiales; Aspergillaceae.
GAACGCACAUUGCGCCCCCUGGUAUUCCGGGGGGCAUGCCUGUCCGAGCGUCAUUGCUGCCCUCAAGCACGGCUUGUGUGUUGGGCUCCGUCCCCCCGGGGACGGGCCCGAAAGGCAGCGGCGGCACCGAGUCCGGUCCUCGAGCGUAUGGGGCUUUGUCACCCGCUCUGUAGGCCCGGCCGGCGCCAGCCGACAACCCAUCAUCCUUUUCAGGUUGACCUCGGAUCAGGUAGGGAUACCCGCUGAACUUAAG